UAUAAUUACCAGCAACUGGCGCUGGGUAGGCAAAGCCCGGAGAAACUGCUGGAUGAGUCAUAGGGCCACAGCUUCUCAGACAACACCUAGGAGAUGCCACCCUUGGACUGGGAAUGUGCAAAGUGCCUGGGAUGGGAGAGGGAAGAGCAGCUCACUGAGGCCUGGCUGUGACUGCCCCACAACGAUGCCAGCAGUGCCCACAGCAGUCGCUAGAAAGUUGCUACCGUUGGCAUUCUACAGAGGAGGGAACUGAGGCAUGGAGCUGAGCAAGGACGUGAGGACCUCAACAGCGGGACAGUGGCAGCUCCUGACUGGGCAUCUGGGCACCCAGUGCUGGCCUGAGCUGUUGUGGCCGGCCCCAGAGACUACCCUCACCCCUGUGUUACUCACCACAGCUCCCUGUCAGCUCCAGCCCCAGCCCCGCUGUCCAGAUGAACAGAUGAAGCAAGGGUCCAGGAGCUAGGAAGCAGCCUAGACGUGUCCAUCUGGAGAAUCCAGCUUCUGACAGCUGUGUGACAAAGCUGCUUGGGACCACCCCUCCCGUGUCCCUUUGAUGGGUGCCCACCACACUCCCUCCUGUUACCCAGCCUUCUCUCCUGAGCCUACCCAAUGGUUUCCUUACUUCCCUGGAAAUUGGAUGGCAGUUGGCCAAUGCGUGUGUA
This is a long non-coding RNA of Onychomys torridus (southern grasshopper mouse), 662 nucleotides long. RefSeq lists it as uncharacterized. The record is from RefSeq and is a predicted model, not a curated record. Lineage: Eukaryota; Metazoa; Chordata; Mammalia; Rodentia; Cricetidae. The transcript has 3 exons.